Molecule: ribosomal RNA, 499 nt
Filed under: uncultured bacterium
Lineage: Bacteria
Description: partial 16S ribosomal RNA
Rfam family: Bacterial small subunit ribosomal RNA
Source: RNAcentral
AUUGAACGCUGGCGGCAUGCCUUACACAUGCAAGUCGAACGGCAGCACGGGUGCUUGCACCUGGUGGCGAGUGGCGAACGGGUGAGUAAUACAUCGGAACGUACCUUAUCGUGGGGAUAACGCAGCGAAAGCUGUGCUAAUACCGCAUACGCCCUGAGGGGGAAAGCGGGGGAUCGCAAGACCUCGCGCGAUUAGAGCGGCCGAUGCCUGAUUAGCUUGUUGGUGGGGUAAAAGCCCACCAAGGCGACGAUCAGUAGCUGGUCUGAGAGGACGAUCAGCCACACUGGGACUGAGACACGGCCCAGACUCCUACGGGAGGCAGCAGUGGGGAAUUUUGACAAUGGGGGCAACCCUGAUCCAGCAAUGCCGCGUGAGUGAAGAAGGCCUUCGGGUUGUAAAGCUCUUUUGUCAGGGAAGAAACACCGGCUCUAACACAGUCCGGGAAUGACGGUACCUGGAGAAUAAGCACCGGCUAACUACGUGCCAGCAGCCGCAGUAA